Long non-coding RNA from Megalobrama amblycephala (Wuchang bream), 210 nucleotides. RefSeq lists it as uncharacterized. NCBI's taxonomy places the organism in Eukaryota, Metazoa, Chordata, Actinopteri, Cypriniformes, Xenocyprididae. The record is from RefSeq and is a predicted model, not a curated record. The transcript is spliced from 2 exons.
GUGGGAACAUGUUGAUGUGAGGUCUACAGGUUAACAUUCAGAAGAAGCUUGUCAUGUCAGACCCCAGGCAGACUUUUCCUGGUGUCACAGAAAUGAUGUGGAGAAACAAAGGGCAGUUCGAGAAAGUUGCAGCGGUCUCCCUCGUACCCCUGGUAACAGUGACAGCGGAACCUGUCGGACAGCAACUGGAGCUCGUGCUGAGAGUGCCAU